GGAGAUCUAGCUCAGUGGCAUAAGCACCUGCCUUGCAGGCAGGUGGUUGUAAGUUCGAUCUCUG
Molecule: transfer RNA, 64 nt
Filed under: Cavia porcellus (domestic guinea pig)
Lineage: Eukaryota; Metazoa; Chordata; Mammalia; Rodentia; Caviidae
Rfam family: tRNA
About the family: Transfer RNA (tRNA) molecules are approximately 80 nucleotides in length.
Source: Rfam by way of RNAcentral